AGUGAACGCUGGCGGUAGGCCUAACACAUGCAAGUCGAACGGCAGCACAGUAAGAGCUUGCUCUUACGGGUGGCGAGUGGCGGACGGGUGAGGAAUACAUCGUAAUCUACUUUUUCGUGGGGGAUAACGUAGGGAAACUUACGCUAAUACCGCAUACGACCUACGGGUGAAAGCAUUGGUUCUUCUCACCUUGCGCGUUUGUAUGAGCCGAUGUCGGAUUAGCUAGUUGGCUUGGUAAAGUCCCACCAAGGCGACGAUCCGUAGCUGGUCUGAGAGGAUGAUAAGAGAAACGGGAAGGGAGAAAGGGAAAAGAGAACGAAGGGAGGAAGCAGAGGGGAAUAGUGGACAAUGGGGGCAAGCAUGAUACAGAAAGACGGAGUGGGUGAAGAAGGCGUUGGGGUUGUAAAGACCUUUUGUUGGGAAAGAAAAGCAGGAGGUUAAUACGAAGAUGUUGUGACGGUAACGAAAGAAUAAGCACCGGCUAACUACGUG
RNAcentral lists this ribosomal RNA (492 nucleotides) under uncultured bacterium. RNAcentral's name for it is "partial 16S ribosomal RNA". It matches the Rfam family "Bacterial small subunit ribosomal RNA", at positions 29 to 507 of the family's 1533-position model. The record is from RNAcentral.